Molecule: ribosomal RNA, 277 nt
Filed under: uncultured bacterium
Lineage: Bacteria
Description: partial 16S ribosomal RNA
Rfam family: Bacterial small subunit ribosomal RNA
Source: RNAcentral
GACGAACGCUGGCGGCGCGCCUCAUACAUGCAAGUCGAGCGACGAAGCCCGGGCUCGCCCGGGUGGAAAGCGGCGAACGGGUGAGUAACACGUGAGCAACCUGCCCCGAAGACCGGGAUAACACCGGGAAACCGGUGCUAAUACCGGAUGCCCUCACCGGAUCGCAUGAUCCGGCGAGGAAAGCUCAGGCGCUUCGGGAUGGGCUCGCGGCCUAUCAGCUUGUUGGUGGGGUAACGGCCUACCAAGGCGACGACGGGUAGCUGGUCUGAGAGGACGG